RNAcentral lists this ribosomal RNA (445 nucleotides) under uncultured bacterium. RNAcentral's name for it is "partial 16S ribosomal RNA". It matches the Rfam family "Bacterial small subunit ribosomal RNA", at positions 354 to 796 of the family's 1533-position model. The record is from RNAcentral.
GUGAGGAAUAUUGGACAAUGGGCGCAAGCCUGAUCCAGCCAUGCCGCGUGCAGGAAGACGCAUCUAUGGUGUGUAAACUGCUUUUGUACGGGAAGAAACACUCCCUCGUGAGGGAGCUUGACGGUACCGUAAGAAUAAGGAUCGGCUAACUCCGUGCCAGCAGCCGCGGUAAUACGGAGGAUCCAAGCGUUAUCCGGAACCAUUGGGUUUAAAGUGUCCGUAGGCGGUUUAAUAAGUCAGUGGUGAAAGCCCAUCGCUCAACGAUGGAACGGCCAUUGAUACUGUUAGACUUGAAUUACAAGGAAGUAACUAGAAUAUGUAGUGUAGCGGUGAAAUGCUUAGAUAUUACAUGGAAUACCAAUUGCGAAGGCAGGUUACUACUUGUGGAUUGACGCUGAUGGACGAAAGCGUGGGGAGCGAACAGGAUUAGAUACCCUAGUAGUCC